RNAcentral lists this ribosomal RNA (253 nucleotides) under uncultured bacterium. RNAcentral's name for it is "partial 16S ribosomal RNA". It matches the Rfam family "Bacterial small subunit ribosomal RNA", at positions 524 to 776 of the family's 1533-position model. The record is from RNAcentral.
UACGAGUGCCCCAAGCGUUAUCCGGAAUCAUUGGGCGUAAAGGGUGUGUAGGUGGCGUUGUUAGUCUUCUGUUAAAAUCUUGGGCUUAACCCAAGACUUGCAGUGGAAACGGCAAUGCUCGAGGAUGCGAGGGGUGAAUGGAACUCAUGGAGUAGGGGUGAAAUCCGUUGAUAUCAUGGGGAACACCAAAAGCGAAGGCAAUUCACUGGCGCAUUCCUGACACUGAAACACGAAAGCGUGGGUAGCGAACGGG